AUUGAACGCUGGCGGAAUGCUUUGCACAUGCAAGUCGAGCGGCAGCACGGGGGCAACCCUGGUGGCGAGCGGCGAACGGGUGAGUAACACAUCGGAACAUGCCCAGUCGUGGGGGAUAACACUUCGAAAGAAGUGCUAAUACCGCAUACGUCCUGAGGGAGAAAGCGGGGGAUCGCAAGACCUCGCGCGAUUGGAGUGGCCGAUGUCAGAUUAGCUAGUUGGUGGGGUAAAGGCCUACCAAGGCAACGAUCUGUAGCUGGUCUGAGAGGAUGAUCAGCCACACUGGGACUGAGACACGGCCCAGACUCCUACGGGAGGCAGCAGUGGGGAAUUUUGGACAAUGGGGGCAACCCUGAUCCAGCCAUUCCGCGUGAGUGAAGAAGGCCUUCGGGUUGUAAAGCUCUUUCGGCAGGAACGAAACGGUGAGCCCUAACAUAGCUUGCUAAUGACGGUACCUGAAGAAGAAGCACCGGCUAACUACGUG
RNAcentral lists this ribosomal RNA (484 nucleotides) under uncultured bacterium. Its description in RNAcentral is "partial 16S ribosomal RNA". It matches the Rfam family "Bacterial small subunit ribosomal RNA", at positions 30 to 507 of the family's 1533-position model. The record is from RNAcentral.